GGCAGCUUACACAUGCAAGUCGAGCGGUAACAGAGAUAGCUUGCUAUCUGCUGACGAGCGGCGGACGGGUGAGUAAUGCUUGGGAAUAUGCCUUUGAGUGGGGGACAACAGUUGGAAACGACUGCUAAUACCGCAUAACGUCUACGGACCAAAGGGGGGGAUGCUUCGGCACCUCUCGCUCAUUGAUUAGCCCAAGUGAGAUUAGCUAGUUGGUAAGGUAAUGGCUUACCAAGGCGACGAUCUCUAGCUGGUUUGAGAGGAUGAUCAGCCACACUGGGACUGAGACACGGCCCAGACUCCUACGGGAGGCAGCAGUGGGGAAUAUUGCACAAUGGGCGAAAGCCUGAUGCAGCCAUGCCGCGUGUGUGAAGAAGGCCUUCGGGUUGUAAAGCACUUUCAGCGAGGAGGAAAGGUUAGUAGUUAAUAGCUGCUAGCUGUGACGUUACUCGCAGAAGAAGCACCGGCUAACUUCGUGCCAGCAGCCGCGGUAAUACGAGGGGUGCAAGCGUUAAUCGGAAUUACUGGGCGUAAAGCGUGCGUAGGUGGUUUGUUAAGCAAGAUGUGAAAGCCCCGGGCUCAACCUGGGAACUGCAUUUUGAACUGGCAA
Molecule: ribosomal RNA, 607 nt
Filed under: uncultured bacterium
Lineage: Bacteria
Description: bacterial SSU rRNA
Rfam family: Bacterial small subunit ribosomal RNA
Source: RNAcentral